RNAcentral lists this long non-coding RNA (808 nucleotides) under Chloebia gouldiae (Gouldian finch). RNAcentral's name for it is "Erythrura gouldiae (Gouldian finch) lncRNA (ENSEGOG00005007388.1)". Lineage: Eukaryota; Metazoa; Chordata; Aves; Passeriformes; Passeridae. The record is from RNAcentral.
UGUUUUAAAGUAAAUGAAAAAGAGGCCAAGGAGAAUGGAAUCUACCUUACUAUCAGCUAAGAAUCAGAUGAUUGAAAAUAUGCUGCAAAGAUAAUCUUACUGGUUUAGUAAGAGUGGGAGUAUAGUUAUGAAUGAGCACUGAGUUACUCCUGCUUUUGCUGAAUAUUAUCUUGAGAGGCUUGACAAGUGUAUAAUAUUGUAUAUAAAAUUGCCUUAAUUCAGCCAUCUGCAAUGGAAAUCAUGAAUGCAAUGGAGAGAACCGUGUGGUCCAGCUAGAAGAAAUGCACUGGUUUAAAGGUGCUCCUAACACCAGCGGAUGUUUCCCUGUGGCUCCCAGCUAAACUUUUUCCACCUGUAUCCUUGUCAGAACAAAACACUAUGCACAUUAAAAGCCAAUGCCUCUGGCAUUAACAGCACAGAAAACAGCAGGUUGAGCCCCUGAAUGACUAUGACUGCCUUCAAGAUGCAGCUGCCAAUACACAGGAUUCUGUUGAUAGCUGUUGAGAUAAAUGAAUUGCAAUGAAAACCAGGACUGUGAAGAUACACCUGUGAUGCCAGCAGAAAGAAGAGAAUGAGCACAAAGAGUCUGCGGCAAGUACAGCUUGGCGUAAUGAGCAGGACAAGUGGCACUAGAGCCUUGACAUGCCUUGGAAGGGAACAGCUGUACUUCUUUUGGUUUCUGAUGUAGACACAACUCUGUGGCAUGAAGGUGUUGGGCCAUAAAUACAGUGUGUGUAGUAUUAACUAAAGAUUGUCAUAGAGCCUUGUAGUAUAAAGUCUGAAUAAAUUUUCUAGUACUGGGAUUUAU